GUGCUCACUUCAGCAGCACAUAUAGUAAAAUUGGAACAACACAGAAAAGGUUAGCAUGGCCCCUGCGCAAGGAUGACACGCGGAUUCGUGAAGCAUUCCAUAUUUUU
Ailuropoda melanoleuca (giant panda) is the source of this 107-nucleotide small nuclear RNA. NCBI's taxonomy places the organism in Eukaryota, Metazoa, Chordata, Mammalia, Carnivora, Ursidae. The record is from Ensembl.